CGCGCUCCACCCACAACGGUUAUCAGCCAGAGAGCUGAGCUCUAUCCGCUGUAUAACACUGGCUCAAUUAAGACUCAUCUCAUACUUUCGACUUGUAAUUGAUUUUAAUACCAACUCUGACGCCCUUUCGACGAGGGAUCAUCUAAAACUAUUCUAACCCUAACCUGCUUAACGAUCUUAACCUUUUAGACCUAACCAUCACCCAAAAUGUUGAAACUAAGUUAAAAAGUUUACUCUUAUUAUAUUUUAU
RNAcentral lists this long non-coding RNA (250 nucleotides) under Ananas comosus (pineapple). Its description in RNAcentral is "long non-coding RNA (ACOM_LNC033711)". Lineage: Eukaryota; Viridiplantae; Streptophyta; Magnoliopsida; Poales; Bromeliaceae. The record is from RNAcentral.